GGGGAGAUACCAAAGCGGCCAACUGGGGCAGACUGUAAAUCUGUUGUCGUAAGACUUCGCAGGUUCGAAUCCUGCUCUCCCCACUA
Molecule: transfer RNA, 86 nt
Filed under: Balneolaceae bacterium
Lineage: Bacteria; Pseudomonadati; Balneolota; Balneolia; Balneolales; Balneolaceae
Description: tRNA-Tyr
Rfam family: tRNA
About the family: Transfer RNA (tRNA) molecules are approximately 80 nucleotides in length. Their secondary structure includes four short double-helical elements and three loops (D, anti-codon, and T loops). Further hydrogen bonds mediate the characteristic L-shaped molecular structure. tRNAs have two regions of fundamental functional importance: the anti-codon, which is responsible for specific mRNA codon recognition, and the 3' end, to which the tRNAs corresponding amino acid is attached (by aminoacyl-tRNA synthetases). tRNAs cope with the degeneracy of the genetic code in two manners: having more than one tRNA (with a specific anti-codon) for a particular amino acid; and 'wobble' base-pairing, i.e. permitting non-standard base-pairing at the 3rd anti-codon position.
Source: RNAcentral